GCAUCAUUGAAACACCAUAUCUCCACUGUGACUCGAAGCAGCUUUAUUUUGGCUGUCUGUAACAGACCUUUGUAUUGGAAGCUACUGCAGCGCUUUAAGAUGAGUGUUACGUUGUUCCUCCACAAUGGUCCAGCCAGCAGUCUAGCUGCUCUACUCUGAACCUGUUAUCUUGUAACAGUACACAAAACCUGGUGCCUUUUUGACUCCACAUCCACAUUACAUCUGAAUAAAAUAAAGAUUUAAAAGUAGGUUAAUACUACUUUUAAGUUCUCCUGUUCAUCUCCCACUACCAGAUCUCCUAUUUUCCCAUUAAAGAGUGUGUUUGUUCUAUUGUAGAAUGUGUCAGCCACUUCUACCAAAGGAUAUUACAAUGUGAAGUACCCAGGAAUGUAGGUUUUAGAUGGAUUCCACUUAAGUAAAACUGCAAAACAGAUCUUUUACAUUUGAAUAACAGAAAAUUUGGACACCAAACCAAGAUUGAACUCAAGAAGCUUUUUCCCUCCCUAUUCUGUAAGCAAACAGAAAAGUUUGAAGGACAUGUGGAAAGCCUGGUAGUAACACUUCAAAAUCUAAUGCAGUUUAGUUCUCUCUUUUCAAAGGGCCAGCUAGAUGCCUCUAAGUGUUGUCUUGAGUAUUUCCUAAAUUGGAAUGCUUGAAUAUUUCCACAGAAAUGUAUUUUAUAGCUGUGAAACAAUAAUGAAGAUGCAAUGACUUUUCCUGAUCUUUAAUAUACAUGUAUGUCUUGGGGUUAUCAGUUGCAUAGAAUGGGGUAACAUAAUGGGUGUCUAUAGGUCACACAUAUUGGUCUGAACUUCCUAAAUGUCUGACUGCUACAUUUGGAACUUUUUAAACAACAAAUGUUUUAAUUAUUACAGCUGUCAAAAGUAAAAGAGAAGACUGGUUAAAUUACGCUCCUGUAAAAAGAAGAAAAACUGAGGAAGAUGAAGCUCAAGUUGAUGAUGACAUCCCACUUGAUAUUGCAAUAAAAUUAUUGGAUAGAAAUGAAACAUUUGUUAUACCUCUGAAGGAUUCUCAAACAACAUUUGAAACGUACAGGAAAAUGCAUCUGGAAAAACGAAGCCGAAGCUUGGACAGCAGUCCCUCAAAUUAGAUAUCUAUAUGUCCCAGCUGAUCAACCUCCUUGGAAGUUUUUUAAUUCCAGCAGAUGGUCUAAUUGAUCAGGAUGAAAGUACUGCAAGCCCAAAGAGCACCCAGGAACUUUCGCCUGGAGGAAUGAUUUUGCUGUUGCUUAAACUUUGGGGAGGUAAUCGAAUAAUGCGCAAAAGCAGGCAAGCCUCUGCAGUACUUAGCAGGGGCUCUGGGAUCUAUGAAUGCUGCUAUCCAGUUUAUCUGGUUCAUUACACACUUAUCAGAAAGUGAACUUUCAUAUUGUGUUUAACUUCAGUUAUGUGACGAAUUCAUGUAUGUGUGCUUCUUGUUAUUAAAGGAAGCCAAAGACUAUUGUUAAGUACUACUACAGUGGUUAAAAUGUCAGUGGAUUUGGACACCCAACAUUUUGAUCAACUUUAUGAGGGUAAAGAUUUCAUUUGAAUUCUUAGUCAGUUGUUUUAACUGUACAAAAUCCCUCUGUAAGCUAUAUUAGCUAACUAAUUGAAAUAUGUACCCUAAAAGCUCCUAGAAUGUCGAGUAUUGUUUUAUAACUGUCUUUUGUAUUUUUUGAUAUUUUGGAAAUUAUUAAUGUAAUAUUGGGGCAUUUGUUGUUGUUUAGUCUUUUUUAAAUGUUCAGUUACACACACAAAAUGACAUCGUUAAAUUGAAUUAAAAGCACAUUUAUUUUGA
Molecule: long non-coding RNA, 1800 nt
Organism: Sceloporus undulatus (fence lizard)
Lineage: Eukaryota; Metazoa; Chordata; Lepidosauria; Squamata; Phrynosomatidae
Exons: 3
Source: RefSeq, a predicted model, not a curated record